Molecule: ribosomal RNA, 253 nt
Filed under: uncultured bacterium
Lineage: Bacteria
Description: partial 16S ribosomal RNA
Rfam family: Bacterial small subunit ribosomal RNA
Source: RNAcentral
UACGUAGGGUGCUAGCGUUGUUCGGAAUCACUGGGCGUAAAGGGCGCGUAGGCGGCUGUUCAAGUCGGGGGUGAAAGCCUGUGGCUCAACCACAGAAUGGCCUUCGAUACUGGACGGCUCGAGACCGGAAGAGGUCAGUGGAACUGCGAGUGUAGAGGUGAAAUUCGUAGAUAUUCGCAAGAACAUCAGUGGCGAAGGCGGCUGACUGGUCCGGUUCUGACGCUGAGGCGCGAAAGCGUGGGGAGCAAACAGG